Picea glauca (white spruce) is the source of this 45-nucleotide non-coding RNA. Lineage: Eukaryota; Viridiplantae; Streptophyta; Pinopsida; Pinales; Pinaceae. The record is from Rfam.
UCUAAGGACUUUCUUAAGUCCAUACAUAUAUUUAUUCAAUAUGAA